RNAcentral lists this long non-coding RNA (297 nucleotides) under Salvia miltiorrhiza (redroot sage). RNAcentral's name for it is "long non-coding RNA (SMIL_LNC011955)". The record is from RNAcentral. Lineage: Eukaryota; Viridiplantae; Streptophyta; Magnoliopsida; Lamiales; Lamiaceae.
CGCAGAAGGAACCGGAGUUCGGAAAGGGUUUUCUCCCAAAACCCGAUCGAAGGAGAUUCCGGUCUGAUGAACAUGAGGAGCACAAAACUCCACGUGGACGAGCACCUCGGGCACCAAAAAAGUAAGAUGCCCGACAGAGAAAAGGAGUCAUGUGACUCACAACAGGAAUCCCACUCACCAAAAAGAAAACGACAAAGGUGAGUGGGUUAUCAUGCAGGCGGACAACUCACCAAAAGCAGAAGUGAGUGGAGGAUAAAAGCAGCAGGCCCCUCCUACAACAUUAUCAGCUGAAUAAUG